RNAcentral lists this long non-coding RNA (353 nucleotides) under Linum usitatissimum (flax). RNAcentral's name for it is "long non-coding RNA (LUSI_LNC007506)". The record is from RNAcentral. Lineage: Eukaryota; Viridiplantae; Streptophyta; Magnoliopsida; Malpighiales; Linaceae.
GAUUUUUAAUGUUGAGUGCCCACAUAUUAGGGCCAUUUCCGCUGCUAGUUAAAAAGUUUAUCCUCUUGUGUUAAAGAUUUCUAUUUUUAUUUCUUUUCUUUUUUUGUUUUAAACUUUUCUGGCCGAGGCAAUUUAGUCAUUUAAUAAAUCGUAAGAAAUCAGGGUGUUUCAGCAUAUAGAGUCUAAUUGGUGGGAGCGAGACGAAAGAACUCACCAGAGAGAAUUCCGCUGUUGAGAAGUGGAAGAUGAGAGCUGGAAAAACAUUUUUUGCCAUUAAGGUUACCCUUGAAGAUGACUUGUUGGAGCAUGUUAGGUACACCACCACACCAAAAGAAGUUUGGGACAAUUUAUCC